GUGGGGAAUCUUCCGCAAUGGACGAAAGUCUGACGGUGCGACGCCGCGUGAGUGAAGAAGGCCUUCGGGUCGUAAAGCUCUGUCAUCAGGGACGAACGGCCGGUGGAGUGGAAAGCCACCGGAUUGACGGUACCUGAGAAGGAAGCCACGGCUAACUACGUGCCAGCAGCCGCGGUAAUACGUAGGUGGCAAGCGUUGUCCGGAAUUAUUGGGCGUAAAGCGCGCGCAGGUGGGAUCUUAAGUCCAUUUUGAAAGUUCGGAGCUCAACUCCGUGAUGGGAUGGAAACUGGGAUUCUUGAGUACCGGAGAGGAAAGCGGAAUUCCCCGUGUAGCGAUGAAAUGCGUAGAUAUGGGGAGGAACACCAGUGGCGAAGGCGGCUUUCUGGACGGUGUCUGACACUGAGGCGCGAAAGCUAGGGGAGCGAACGGGAUUAGAUACCCUUGUAGUCC
Molecule: ribosomal RNA, 450 nt
Filed under: uncultured bacterium
Lineage: Bacteria
Description: partial 16S ribosomal RNA
Rfam family: Bacterial small subunit ribosomal RNA
Source: RNAcentral